This 400-nucleotide ribosomal RNA is filed under the name uncultured fungus. RNAcentral describes it as "partial small subunit ribosomal RNA". It matches the Rfam family "Eukaryotic small subunit ribosomal RNA", at positions 30 to 432 of the family's 1831-position model. Lineage: Eukaryota; Fungi. The record is from RNAcentral.
GCUUGUCUCAAAGAUUAAGCCAUGCAUGUCUAAGUAUAAAUAGUAUACAGUGAAACUGCGAAUGGCUCAUUAAAACAGUUAUAGUUUAUUUGAUAAUUGAAAAUUACAUGGAUAACCGUGGUAAUUCUAGAGCUAAUACAUGCUAUCAAGCCCGACUUCUUGAAGGGUUGUAUUUAUUAGACUUAAGCCAAUAUUCCUUGUGUCUAUUGCGAUGAUUCAUAAUAACUUUGGGCUGAUCGUAUGGCCUUGUGCCGACGACGUUUCCUUCGAAGGUGUGCCCUAUCAACUGUCGACUGUGAUAUAGACGCUCACAGUGGUUUUGACGGGUAACGGGGAAUCAGGGUUCGAUUCCGGAGAGGGAGCCUUAAAAACGGCUACCACAUCCAAGGAAGGCAGCAGG